UCUUUUCUUGUAGGCACAAUUCUGCAUGAAUGUGUCAGUUGUUACAAGGCAAAAUUAAAAGUACAGGUUUUGCUUCCAUCAUGCUAAAUAUUCUGUUGCAGUGAUGACAAUGAGACCUGUCACAUGUUAGCCUUUUGCAUAUUGACUUCAUAAUGUUUACCACAUAACCACUUCAUUCAAGGAAUGUCUUAACUUCUCUCCUCAGGUUGAAACUUUUGAAAUGUUUUUGUCUGACUUUCAUAUAGUCUUCUACCGGGACAGGGCUCCAUGAUGGGUUGAAACCUUUGACAUGCAUUGUCAGAAAAUGUACUCCUUUACUGGAAAAGGGCUCCAUGACGAUCCCAUCUGAAAUAUGUAUCUUAAAUAAGGUUAACAGUGGCAUAGCUUGCUGGAAAGGCAUUUGGAUGUGAACAUGACCAGUAAAUCUGAAAAUUUGAGACCCUUUCAUUAGCAAACUGCUCUGGUGAUUCUUGUCCGGUGUCAGAAUUAGAGGUUUCAAAUGUUGAAGAUGUAAUAUUUAAGAGGUGAAAGCUAUCCAUUAAACUGAAGAUGAGGUGAGUGGUCUUUCAGCGUUCUGCACUGGAUGGUAUCUGCACCCAAUGGCAAUUUCCUGUUGUGGUGUUCAUUACGCAGUGCAAGAUAAACUCAGCAACUGGCAUCGUUGGUUUUCAGACCUCUUGUGUUUGCAAGCCUGGUUUUUAUGCUGUGACAUUAAUUUCUAUCUAAGGCCUG
Long non-coding RNA from Pelobates fuscus (common spadefoot toad), 732 nucleotides. RefSeq lists it as uncharacterized. NCBI's taxonomy places the organism in Eukaryota, Metazoa, Chordata, Amphibia, Anura, Pelobatidae. The record is from RefSeq and is a predicted model, not a curated record. The transcript has 7 exons.